RNAcentral lists this ribosomal RNA (478 nucleotides) under uncultured bacterium. RNAcentral's name for it is "partial 16S ribosomal RNA". It matches the Rfam family "Bacterial small subunit ribosomal RNA", at positions 28 to 523 of the family's 1533-position model. The record is from RNAcentral.
GACGAACGCUGGCGGCGUGCUUAACACAUGCAAGUCGAACGGUAAGGCCCUUCGGGGUACACGAGUGGCGAACGGGUGAGUAACACGUGGGUGAUCUGCCCUGCACUUCGGGAUAAGCCUGGGAAACUGGGUCUAAUACCGGAUAGGACCACUGCCUGCAUGGGCGGUGGUGGAAAGCUUUUGCGGUGUGGGAUGGGCCCGCGGCCUAUCAGCUUGUUGGUGGGGUGAUGGCCUACCAAGGCGACGACGGGUAGCCGGCCUGAGAGGGUGACCGGCCACACUGGGACUGAGAUACGGCCCAGACUCCUACGGGAGGCAGCAGUGGGGAGUAUUGCACAAUGGGCGCAAGCCUGAUGCAGCGACGCCGCGUGAGGGAUGACGGCCUUCGGGUUGUAAACCUCUUUCAGCACCGACGAAGCGCAAGUGACGGUAGGUGCAGAAGAAGGACCGGCCAACUACGUGCCAGCCGCCGCGGUAA